GCGCCUGUGGCUCAAAGGAGUAGGGCCCUGGCCUCAUAUGCCAGAGGUGGUGGGUUCAAACCCAGCCCUGGCCA
Molecule: non-coding RNA, 74 nt
Organism: Otolemur garnettii (small-eared galago)
Lineage: Eukaryota; Metazoa; Chordata; Mammalia; Primates; Galagidae
Source: Rfam